GAUGAACGCUGGCGGCGUGCCUAAUACAUGCAAGUCGAGCGAACAGACGAGGAGCUUGCUCCUUUGACGUUAGCGGCGGACGGGUGAGUAACACGUGGAUAACCUACCUAUAAGACUGGGAUAACUUCGGGAAACCGGAGCUAAUACCGGAUAAUAUAUUGAACCGCAUGGUUCAAUAGUGAAAGACGGUUUUGCUGUCACUUAUAGAUGGAUCCGCGCCGCAUUAGCUAGUUGGUAAGGUAACGGCUUACCAAGGCGACGAUGCGUAGCCGACCUGAGAGGGUGAUAGGCCACACUGGAACUGAGACACGGUCAGGACUCCUACGGGAGGCAGCAGUAGGGAAUCUUCCGCAAUGGGCGAAAGCCUGACGGAGCAACGCCGCGUGAGUGAUGAAGGUCUUCGGAUCGUAAAACUCUGUUAUUAGGGAAGAACAAAUGUGGAAGUAACUAUGCACGUCUUGACGGUACCUAAUCAGAAAGCCACGGCUAACUACGUG
This 497-nucleotide ribosomal RNA is filed under the name uncultured bacterium. RNAcentral describes it as "partial 16S ribosomal RNA". It matches the Rfam family "Bacterial small subunit ribosomal RNA", at positions 28 to 507 of the family's 1533-position model. The record is from RNAcentral.